AGCUCCAAUAGCGUAUAUUUAAGUUGUUGCAGUUAAAAAGCUCGUAGUUGGAUUUUGGGUCGGGGCGUCCGGUCCGCCGUACCGGUGUGCACUGGGUGCUCCUUCCUUUCUGCCGGGGACCUGCGGGCGUCUUAAUUGCCGUCCGCAGGGAGUCGGCGUUGUUACUUUGAAAAAAUUAGAGUGUUCAAAGCAAGCCAUCGCUCUGAAUACAUUAGCAUGGAAUAACAUGAUAGGACUCCGCUCUUAUUUUGUUGGUUUCCGAGACUGGAGUAAUGAUUAAGAGGGACAGUCGGGGGCAUCCGUAUUUCAUUGUCAGAGGUGAAAUUCUUGGAUUUAUGAAAGACGAACUUCUGCGAAAGCAUUUGCCAAGGAUGUUU
RNAcentral lists this ribosomal RNA (377 nucleotides) under uncultured eukaryote. Its description in RNAcentral is "SSU rRNA". It matches the Rfam family "Eukaryotic small subunit ribosomal RNA", at positions 587 to 969 of the family's 1831-position model. The record is from RNAcentral.